This 836-nucleotide ribosomal RNA is filed under the name uncultured bacterium. RNAcentral's name for it is "bacterial SSU rRNA". It matches the Rfam family "Bacterial small subunit ribosomal RNA", at positions 60 to 898 of the family's 1533-position model. The record is from RNAcentral.
AGUCGACGAGAAGUACCUUCGGGUGCGAGUAGAGUGGCGCACGGGUGAGUAACACGUAGGUAAUCUGCCUUUUGGUGGGGGAUAACCAGGAGAAAUUCUGGCUAAUACCGCAUAAGUUGGUAACAAGAAAGGAUGCUCCGGCAUUCGCCGAAAGAUGAGCCUGCGGGACAUUAGUUUGAUGGUGGGGUAAUGGCCUACCAUGACUUCGAUGUCUAGCUGGUCUGAGAGGAUGAUCAGCCACACUGGAACUGAGACACAGUCCAGACUCCUACGGGAGGCAGCAGUGGGGAAUAUUGCGCAAUGGGGGAAACCCUGACGCAGCAACGCCGCGUGAGUGAGGAAGGCCCUCGGGUCGUAAAGCUCUGUCAGAUGGGAAGAAACUACAUUGGUCUAAUAGGCCUUUGUACUGACGGUACCAUCAAAGGAAGCACCGGCUAACUUCGUGCCAGCAGCCGCGGUAAUACGAAGGGUGCAAGCGUUAUUCGGAUUUACUGGGCGUAAAGCGCGCGCAGGCGGAUAGAUAAGUCAGAUGUGAAAUCUCGGGGCUCAACCCCGAAACUGCGUCUGAAACUAUUUAUCUAGAGUCUUGGAGGGGGAAGUGGAAUUUCGCAUGUAGGGGUAAAAUCCGUAGAGAUGCGAAGGAACACCAGAGGCGAAGGCGACUUCCUGGCCAAGUACUGACGCUGAGGCGCGAAAGCGUGGGGAGCAAACAGGAUUAGAUACCCUGGUAGUCCACGCCGUAAACGAUGUGCACUAGAUUUGGGAGGUUUGACCCCUUCCGAGUCGCAGCUAACGCAUUAAGUGCACCGCCUGGGGAGUACGGUCGCAAGACUAAA